GAAAUUGAGAUUUUAGAUUUUGGUACGUGGAAAGGAAUCAGUAGGAUUAUUUUUUAUUUGAUGUCUUGCUGGGAUCUGAUUCAUGUGAAUAUGAUCGACAGGGAACAGAGCAAAAUGAUGAGUGAGCUUGUUUGUGUGAAGUUCAAAGAGAUUGUUGCUUAUGAUCCAUGGGGCUGAGAGUUGUGCCUCUAUGGGAUGAGAGCAGCAGUCAGUUAGCAGGAAUGUUAAUUGUUUCAGAUUUUAUUUUGAUUUUGUUUCAGGUAAUGCAUCUCUUAUAACUAUUCAUCAACCCUUUCCUACUUGGCAACUGUCCUCAA
Long non-coding RNA from Salvia miltiorrhiza (redroot sage), 317 nucleotides. RefSeq lists it as uncharacterized. The transcript is spliced from 3 exons. NCBI's taxonomy places the organism in Eukaryota, Viridiplantae, Streptophyta, Magnoliopsida, Lamiales, Lamiaceae. The record is from RefSeq and is a predicted model, not a curated record.